Molecule: long non-coding RNA, 1542 nt
Filed under: Mus pahari (shrew mouse)
Lineage: Eukaryota; Metazoa; Chordata; Mammalia; Rodentia; Muridae
Description: lncRNA (MGP_PahariEiJ_G0002228.1)
Source: RNAcentral
AUUCCAUACAAGGAGACCAUGGUCACUGCCCUCAGCUUCUACCUCAAAAUCUCAUUCCCAAGAGGGCUUUAGAGACCUUGUUCCUCCUUUGUCCCUCUAUCCUCUGGAUUAGACUCAGUGAACCCAAUACUGACUGAACAAGGACGGCACACUGACAGGACCAGAGACGGACCCAACAGGAAAGCCAGUACUUGUUCAAAGUAACAUGGGAAUGGAGUUUGGGAGUCAGGCUAUCAUCUAUGGAUUCCCAGCCCCCACUCAUACCAGGGGUCCCUGGAGGCCCAUCUGACCUAUGCAGCCUGCUUCUUACAUGUACCUGUUAUCACAGGGCCCCUGGAAUGCUGGACUUGUUCAGAGGGACUCUUCUGUUGCUGAGAGAGAAACCACCCUCAGGAAGGUUAAUGGAGGCAUACCAUCACAGCCAGAAGAUAGCCACCCUUGCAUGGUCACUGUGUUUUGUGUCCAAGAGGGUGUGAUGGUGGUUGACCUGUGACAGUGGCUUCUAUUCUCAAGACUCUACUACAGACAUACUACCAGAACAUGCCACCCUCAAUUACCCAGGGACCUAGCAUUCUGUCACUGAGAUAAGGGCAUACUAUAUUGUCCUCUGGAUAAGAACCAUAGGGGGCUUGGAGGGUGGAACCCUUAGGAUCCACUUGUACCUCUUGUCUUAGGGAAGAGGCAAGGGAUGGGCUCAGAUGAAGGCAAGUUCAACAUCCCGUAAGUGGGGGAAGCCUGAGCUAUGCCUACAGGGAGCUGGUGAGGGACUCUUUGGGAGGCUACUUUCCUCUGCCAGUCCACAGGCCAGGCAGUAUCCCGUGACCUCCAUCUCAGGCUCUGUGGUUAGCUUUCAGGCCCCAGAUUCAUGGUUGCUCAUCUCCCAAGAAAAUGGGUCUCCCCAUUUCUUUCAGGGAAACCAAGUUACCAGUGAUCCAUGGCUACUAGGAGACAGAAUUAGGGCUUGACUGCACAUAGCCUUAGGCCUGGCCUUGUUGGUAGACAUGGCCACCAAAACCAACACUACCACAGUCUGGCUGGAAUCUUCGUCAUCUGUCCAACUUGGGCCCUUGAAACCAUGAUCACUACCGGCUAGUGUCUUUCAUGGCAAUCCCUAUCAGGCACCCAACCACUCCCUAUCUGGCUGCCCAAAACCCUACUUUUCUCUUGGGCCUUGACAUAACUGGCCCCACAGACAAGCUGCCAUGUCCAUACCUUGACUCUACUUCAGUGAGCCUCUGUGAGCCUUGUAAGCAAGGAGGAAGGCAAUGAGGACUGCUAGGUAGAAGGGUCUGGGGAGUGUAGAGAGAGCUUGGAGGAGGGGCAGGCACCAGGAGUCAGAAAGCUGAGCGGAGGACUUCAUCUGCCACCCCUUCGCAGAAACCCAACCACACUCUGACGGGGUUGAUCCUAUCUUGAAUUCCUAACUCCCAGAGCCCUUUGCUGUGUACUUUUAAAAGCUGUUGUGUUGGUGGGAGUAUGUUACAGUUGCCAUUGAAAACUAGAGUCUUUUCUUUUUUAAAAUAAAGUAAACACCAGCUUCAC